This 355-nucleotide ribosomal RNA is filed under the name uncultured Anaerolineaceae bacterium. RNAcentral describes it as "bacterial SSU rRNA". It matches the Rfam family "Bacterial small subunit ribosomal RNA", at positions 1009 to 1382 of the family's 1533-position model. The record is from RNAcentral. Lineage: Bacteria; Bacillati; Chloroflexota; Anaerolineae; Anaerolineales; Anaerolineaceae.
GGACGACCUUCGGGAGCCUAUACAGGUGUUGCAUGGCUGUCGUCAGCUCGUGUCGUGAGAUGUUCGGUUAAGUCCGCUAACGAGCGCAACCCUCGUCGUAUGUUAUAUGUGUCAUACGAGACUGCCGGUAAAAAGCCGGAGGAAGGUGAGGAUGAUGUCAAGUCAGCAUGACCUUUAUAUCCAGGGCUACACACACGCUACAAUGGUCUGUACAAUGGGUAGCCAAGCCGCGAGGCGGAGCCAAUCCUGAAAGCAGGCCUCAGUUCAGAUUGCAGUCUGCAACUCGACUGCAUGAAGCCGGAGUUGCUAGUAACCGCAGGUCAGCAAUACUGCGGUGAAUACGUUCCCGGGUCUU